GACAGUUCGGUCCCUAUCUGCCGUGGGUGUAGGAAUAUUGAGAGGAUCUGUCCCUAGUACGAGAGGACCGGGAUGGACGUAUCUCUGGUGGACCUGUUGUGGCGCCAGCCGCAUAGCAGGGUAGCUAUAUACGGAACGGAUAACCGCUGAAGGCAUCUAAGCGGGAAACCGACCUCAAAACGAGUAUUCCCUGAGAGCCGUGGUAGACGACCACGUUGAUAGGCCGGGUGUGGAAGAGCGGCAACGCUUGAAGCUUACCGGUACUAAUAACUCGA
This 275-nucleotide ribosomal RNA is filed under the name Salmonella enterica subsp. enterica serovar Indiana. RNAcentral describes it as "partial 23S ribosomal RNA". It matches the Rfam family "Bacterial large subunit ribosomal RNA", at positions 2625 to 2912 of the family's 2925-position model. The record is from RNAcentral. Lineage: Bacteria; Pseudomonadati; Pseudomonadota; Gammaproteobacteria; Enterobacterales; Enterobacteriaceae.